RNAcentral lists this long non-coding RNA (1460 nucleotides) under Macaca fascicularis (crab-eating macaque). RNAcentral's name for it is "lncRNA (ENSMFAG00000053962.1)". Lineage: Eukaryota; Metazoa; Chordata; Mammalia; Primates; Cercopithecidae. The record is from RNAcentral.
UUUUUUUUUUUUUUUUUUUUGAGAUGGAGUCUAACUCUUGUCGCCCAGGCUGGAGUGCAAUGGUGGGAUCUCUGCUCACUGCUACCUCCGCCUCCCAGGUUCAAGCAAUUCUCCUGCCUCAGCCUCAUGAGUAGCUGGGAUUACAAGUGCCUGCCACCAUGCCUGGCUAAUUUUUGUACUUUUAGUAGAGAUGGAGUUUCACCAUGUUAGCCAGGCUCCUCUCGAACUCCUGACCUCAGAUAAUCCACCUGCCUCGGCCUCCCAAAGGACUGGGAUUACAGGUGUGAGCUACUGCACCCGGCCUAGCAUACUUUGUUAAGAUGACAAGUUCUUAAAGAUUAUUUUCAGGGAUCUACUUUAUCAGUUUGUAUAAAAACUGUAAAUUCUUUUCAAAACAUAUAUCAAAAUAUUCAGAAAAAGUCUAGCCUCUAAAUAAAGAAAUAGUUUCGGAUAAAGUAGCUACUGAUAACAUGUUUUAAAUAAACAAUUUCUUGCUUGAAAGUUUUUACUUUUAUGUUCAUUUGUUUCUUCAUAUUCCAAAACAUUUAUUGAACGACUGAGUUAGAUUCUGCCGAUGUAAAAAGAAAAGCGUGAGACCUGGUUGCUACUUACAGACGGAUCAUAGUUGAGGAAAAAAGACAUGGAUAAAAAUGUAAUGUGCUGAGAUGCAUUUUAAUCUGAAACUGAGAUGUUCAGAAGAUAGAUGGAGGCAUAGCAGCUGAAUUCAAGAAGUGGCAUGGAGAUAGCUUGAGCUGGACAUAUCAUUUUGUAUCUGUGUUUAGCAUAGAAAAAGAGAGGGCCUAAACAAUACUAAGCUAUUUUCAAAUACUUGAUAAAAAUUACGACUGCCGAGGAUAAUAACACAUGAAUUGUGUGCUGCUCUUCCUUAUCCCUGCUUGAGGCAAUGGAUAACGGUCUUUCACUUCGUACGCUCAGUGGGCACUGCUAUUUUCUUUGGUGUUUAGCAGAACUAAAAUCAGUAACAUUUAUAAGACCAACUUUGUAUUUCAUAAGCUUAUAUUUUUCAACUCUUUGCACCUGGUGAAGAUGGUUUGUAAAAUCUAUAAUAUAUAUCACUCAUUCCAAGGCCAGUGUUUCUUUUCGCGGUGGGGUUAAGAGUGCAGACUCGAGCUGGUUGCCUAGCUUCUCUGAGCUUCAAUCUCAUUGUCUGUGAAACGGGAAGAACAAUACUGCCUGCCUCACAUGACAGUUGUGAGGCUGAAAUGAGCUCAGUACAGAGUCUGAUGCUUGCAUAUUUCUCACUAAGUGCUCACUGUCAUUCAUGGGGUAGGGAUAGCUCUGGAGGUCUGGAGAGCUGUGGCUGUGGAGUCUUAAGGCCUGGCUAGGAUCGCCUGCUCUGUCAUGUACUUACCUUGCAUUUUGAUUUUUUUUUCCCAUUAAUGAAGAAGGGAUUCCUGCCCUAGAGUUAUGGGGAUGGCCUGACACACAACACCAGGCAC